Long non-coding RNA from Lagenorhynchus albirostris (white-beaked dolphin), 656 nucleotides. RefSeq lists it as uncharacterized. The record is from RefSeq and is a predicted model, not a curated record. NCBI's taxonomy places the organism in Eukaryota, Metazoa, Chordata, Mammalia, Artiodactyla, Delphinidae. The transcript has 4 exons.
CAGAUGCUGACAACACAAAUCCUGGUUCUAAGUGACUUGGCCAGAUUCCUAUCUACAGAUCAACCAGGAUUUUCUGGUUUCCAUCAUCAAGAACUGCUGUCACAGUUGCAGAACCUCAUGUGGCUACUUCACAAUCAAGCUCCCGGAGGAAGAGCAGAGGUGUAGAAAAGACAGUUGCAGGUUGAGAAGAUAUACCACAUUCUGGAAGACAGCACCCCAACCAUGCAGGUUUCCCAGUUAGCAACACAACCACUUUAAGUGGACAGCUCCUUCUUGGUGAUGAAGUAGACGGUGAGUCCAGAGAACUCCAAAGAAACAGCAGCUUAACUAACACCUCCCUUUCAAGAACAGCAUCAGGACACUUGCUGAAAGUAUAGUGAGCUGGGACUCGAGGACCUGGGAACAGUCAAUACCUACUUAUCUCAGAUGGUGAGAGAAGUACUCCAAGCCGCUGCCUCUGGCGGGAGACUUGAGUACCAGCCAGAUGCACAGUGACAAAGAGCAGUCUGAUGGCUUUUGCUACAGUGGUUUUUAGAUUUCUCUGUAUGAUAUAAAUAUGCAACUAUUUAACUAUUUGGCAAUGGUUUUUGCAUUUUGCAGUAAAGUUUUUGAUGACAAAGAGCUCAAAUAAAUGAAAGCCAAGGUUUAAUAGAAAA